CUUCUCCUUCUCUUGUUCUUGUUCUUCUUCUAUUCUUCUUCUUUUCUUCUUCUUUGUGGAAGAUCCAUGCAUCGCCCCUUGUUCUCUAUUUUUUCUCCCUUCCACUAACCAUCUCCCUCCCUCUCUCAUGCAUGUCGAGAACGACGCGACUUUUCGUUAACGACACGCCCGAAAUCCUCCUAUUUCUCUCCUUUAGUUGACGCCACCACCCAACACCCUUGCACCGCUGAACUCGCUGGUGAAUCUCAGCCACAACGUGCGGAAAUCAAGGCCAAGGGAGAUUUCAUGGCUAUGGGCUGAAGCUUUGAGAAAAAGAGAAUGAAAAAUGAAAUGUGAGAUUAUAAACUUUGAUGAUGUGUAGGGUCUUUUUGUUUGUCUAUGCAUUUCCCAAGUGAAUUUGAGUACUUUUGAUUUUUCUAUUAAUCUUUUGUCUAUGGUUGCUUUUGAAUUGUAUCGUAAUUGCAUGAUAAUUAUAACAUAAACAAACUAUCACUACACCAAAUGUGCCUUUUAAUACCAUCCAACCAUAGCAUUUUUAUUAACACAUUAUAAAAACUAAGAAAAAAAAAGUGAAAAAGCAAAAUAUUAAAAGCAGGAAAAUUUUCAUUUCUUUUUUUAGGGAUUGCCCGUGUUACGCUUUCCCCGAAUACUCAAUUUCAUUUUUGUUCGUCCACACCCAAAAUUCCUCUCUUCAAUUUCGUUUCCAUUUAUUCAUGCUCCACCCUCAAUUCGAUCAUCUCUUCAAUUCGAUCUCUCCCUACAUUCACUUUCGAUUUUGUUCGUUCACGCCUAUUCAAUUUCAUCUCGUUGUAGAUCUCAAAACUUCUCUUCGAUUUCAUUCACGCCCAAGGCCAGAAAUUUUCUCUCUUGUUAGUUGGUGUAUUAGAAACUAAUUUGGGUUAUUUCAAUCUUCAAAUCUAAAGGACUAACAAUAGUCUCGUUGUUCUCUCUUCAUCGUCUCUAUGUCGUUCAAACUUCUAUUUCCUGGCUUCAAUCUGGGUCUCUCUUGGUGGUGGUAUAUGGGUCUGUUGAUUUUCUUACCCUUUUUGAGGUUUUGGCUUCGUGGGUUGUUAUUGGUUUUGUUUCUUUGUGAAUAACAAUGAAUGUUUGGGGGAUUUUUUUUAAUGAGCGAUUUGUAUGGGGGUUGUGUUUUGCAAAUGAUGUCUUUCUUAUUUCAAGAACAAAAAAAGUAGCAGCUUAGCUAGCUGUGUAACAAUCUCCACAUCAGUGACAACUUUGCCCAUAUAUAUGCAAAUCCAUAUUUUUCCUCAUGGGAAAUGUCUAAUUGUUCUUCACAAGUGGAUAAAUUUUAUAUAUAUCUACUUUCCAUUUUGAUUAAUUUUCCAUUUAAGGUACAAUCUUUGUAGUUGCUUACUCUUCACAUUAACCUUUGCUGAAUUAUAUUGUUCUUUGUUUUUAAGUUCUUUAGUGAGAGGUUUCCAUGGCCAUUGUGUAGCACAAAUUGAAAAUGGUGAAAAUAAUGGCUUACAAGCUUUGGAAGAGUCUCUUUUUGUUAUGUAAUUGGAUUUGUUUCUUUGUUUAGUGUGUAUAAUGUCUAACAUUUCAAGUUUAUCUAACAAUAUAUCUCAUACCAAUCCACGUUUAAUAUAUCUCCAAUCACACAUUUUAAAUUUAAGACCUUUCAUUAUUUUAGUAUUUCAAAAGUACAUAGUAAAUCAAAAAGUGUAUUGAAAGAGAAAUUCUACUUGUACGUCUCCUCACAAUAAAUUCUACUUGUACAUCUGCUCACAAGAAAUUUUGUUGCAUUUAGUUUGAUGACUCCCUUUGGUUUUGCUAAGUUUGCAAAACCUAAAACCUAAAACUGGUAAAACAUAUACUAAAUUUUAAUCAUUCUUGUUUUGUUAUUGUUGCAACUAUCCCAUAUAAUUUCUUCCAUUUUAAGCUACAACGUUUUACUAUAAAUUAUGAUAUAUUAUUCCUUCAAAAGCACACAAACAAAUACAAAUCUUCCAAAUCAUAUAAUACUAACCCACUAGACACAUUUGAUAUGGUGAAGCCCUCAACAAAGUUUGCUCUCUUGUUCUUAAUGUUCUUCAUUAUCUCAGAAACGUUCGUGGUAGAUGCCAGAAAUGUCGUCAACAUUCCAUGCAAUAGUCGUAUUGAUUGUUCUGAUCCAUGGGACUGUGAUUGUAAGCUCAACCUAUGUUUUUGUCAUCCACAUGGAUUGGAAAAGAAAUUUCUUCACAAUGCCCUUCCUGAACAUUUGAGAGAAGAAAAGACAACGCCGCUCCUUAAAACAUAAAUUAGAAAUUAACAUAUAUGUAUUCUCCCCUCCCAAUUUAAGAUCUACAUAUAUAGCUCAUACAUGAAAAGAAAUGUACUUUUACUACAAUACACACAUAAGUAAUAUAUAUAUGACUAUUAUUCUCUACAAGAACAAUAAUA
Cucumis sativus (cucumber) is the source of this 2406-nucleotide long non-coding RNA. RefSeq lists it as uncharacterized. Lineage: Eukaryota; Viridiplantae; Streptophyta; Magnoliopsida; Cucurbitales; Cucurbitaceae. The record is from RefSeq and is a predicted model, not a curated record. The transcript has 3 exons.